RNAcentral lists this long non-coding RNA (1591 nucleotides) under Oncorhynchus kisutch (coho salmon). RNAcentral describes it as "lncRNA (ENSOKIG00005007050.1)". The record is from RNAcentral. Lineage: Eukaryota; Metazoa; Chordata; Actinopteri; Salmoniformes; Salmonidae.
CCUCCGUCUGCUCCCAUGGGAGGCGAUCCCUCCCAGCCAGGAUCUCCUCCCACAUCCAGGAUCCUUUCCCAUUCAAAAUGUCCUUCCACAUCCAUUCCUCCUGACCUCGCUGCUUGGUCUUUUUGUGGUGGGUAGUUCUGUCACGUCUCUCGUCAGAAGGCAUGGACCAAAGCGCAGCGUGGUAAGUGUUCAUGAUAAAUGUAUUACUCAAAACACUCAAACAAAAUAACAAAGAGUGAAAACCGAAACAGUCUUGUCAAGUGUAGACACUAAACAGAAUAUAACUACCCACAAAACCCAAACGAAAAAGGACAACUUAUAUAUGAUCCCCAAUCAGAGACAACGAUAGACAGCUGCCUCUGAUUGGGAACCACACCAACAUAAAAGUAAAGAAACUAGAAUGUACUAGUACUACAGCCAGGGAAGGUGAGCAUACCUCAGUAACUCAUACUGUACUACAUCCAGGGAAGGUGAGCAUACCUCAGUAACUCAUACUGUACUACAUCCAGGGAAGGUGAGCAUACCUCAGUAACUCAUACUGUACUACAUCCAGGGAAGGUGAGCAUACCUCAGUAACUCAUGCUGUACUACAUCCAGGGAAGGUGAGCAUACCUCAGUAACUCAUACUGUACUACAUCCAGGGAAGGUGAGCAUACCUCAGUAACUCAUACUGUACUACAUCCAGGGAAGGUGAGCAUACCUCAGUAACUCAUGCUGUACUACAUCCAGGGAAGGUGAGCAUACCUCAGUAACUCAUACAGUACUAAAUCCAGGGAUGGUGAGCAUACCUCAGUAACUCAUACUGUACUACAUCCAGGGAAGGUGAGCAUACCUCAGUAACUCUGUGUGCACUCUGUGUUCCAUGUCUUUGUCCAGGUAAAUCCCUCCCCCUUGCUGUACUGUACCUACCUGUGCUGUAGCUAUAACUCAGAGAGGGAUGUGUCAGCUUUGAAUGAAACCUAAUCCUUCUUCUCCUUCACUUGCACCCCCGGGGGCUUCGUUUGGCCUGCUCUCUCUCUCUCUCCCCCUCUCUCUCUCUUUCUUUCUCUCUGUAUGGUGCUCAGGUGUGCUCUUACAUGCUGAGACUCCAUGUCAUUCCCGCUCUAAUCACAGUCAGGGUCUGGAGCAGGUAAGCGCUGAUUCUGGAAGCGUACAGGGAAGACUGCUCAUACUUAGGUCUGGCAGCCAACGACCUGCAGGAUGGUUUCUCUGUUCCUGCUCGUGUGUAAGUCGCAUGCACCUUCCUUUGGCACUCUUUGAAUUGAUGACAGGCAAAUCACAUGUAGCAGAAAAGGGAAAAAACAGAUCCUCAGAGCUAUUUGUUUCAACAGGGGCAGGAUUAAAUUGUCUUGUUUUUGGCAGGAAGAAUCUCUUUGCCAUUAUAGUCCAUGAGUCCUCUUUUCCACAAGCGUGUGAUCACUUGCUGCACACCGAUGGAGAAUAUUUCCACUUGCUGGCACUUGCUUUCUCUAGCGGGAGACUUUUUUAUUUGCAUAUUUUCCCUAAUAUUCAAAAUGGUGGAUAUAAUUUCAGUCAUGUAUGGACAACUUCACUAUCGUCAAGUAGAAAUGUUGAGUGUUCUAAAAAGUGA